This 400-nucleotide ribosomal RNA is filed under the name uncultured bacterium. Its description in RNAcentral is "bacterial SSU rRNA". It matches the Rfam family "Bacterial small subunit ribosomal RNA", at positions 356 to 773 of the family's 1533-position model. The record is from RNAcentral.
GGGGAAUAUUGCACAAUGGGGGAAACCCUGAUGCAGCGACGCCGCGUGAAGGAAGAAGUAUCUCGGUAUGUAAACUUCUAUCAGCAGGGAAGAUAAUGACGGUACCUGACUAAGAAGCCCCGGCUAACUACGUGCCAGCAGCCGCGGUAAUACGUAGGGGGCAAGCGUUAUCCGGAUUUACUGGGUGUAAAGGGAGCGUAGGCGGCGGAGCAAGUCAGAAGUGAAAGCCCGGGGCUCAACCCCGGGACGGCUUUUGAAACUGCCCUGCUUGAUUUCAGGAGAGGUAAGCGGAAUUCCUAGUGUAGCGGUGAAAUGCGUAGAUAUUAGGAGGAACACCAGUGGCGAAGGCGGCUUACUGGACUGACAAUGACGCUGAGGCUCGAAAGCGUGGGGAGCAAAC